This 91-nucleotide transfer RNA is filed under the name Thermotoga maritima. RNAcentral's name for it is "tRNA-Ser (GGA) (tRNA-Ser-GGA-1-1)". It matches the Rfam family "tRNA". From Rfam's summary of the family: Transfer RNA (tRNA) molecules are approximately 80 nucleotides in length. Their secondary structure includes four short double-helical elements and three loops (D, anti-codon, and T loops). Lineage: Bacteria; Thermotogati; Thermotogota; Thermotogae; Thermotogales; Thermotogaceae. The record is from RNAcentral. RNAcentral also lists the same sequence under 18 other names.
GGAGAGGUGGCCGAGGGGUCUAAGGCGCACGCCUGGAGAGCGUGUGGUGGCCAAAAGCCACCCGUGGGUUCAAAUCCCACCCUCUCCGCCA